AGCAGCCGCGGUAAUUCCAGCUCCAAUAGCGUAUAUUAAAGUUGUUGCAGUUAAAAAGCUCGUAGUUGAAUUUCGGGGUCAGUAGGUCGGUCGUGCCACAGGUAUGCACUGGUCUCACUGAUUCCUCCUUCCUGAUGAACCGUAAUGCCAUUAAUUUGGUGUUGCGGGGAGACUGGACUGUUACUUUGAAAAAAUUAGAGUGUUUAAAGCAGGCUAACGCUUGAAUACAUUAGCAUGGAAUAACGGAAUAGGACGUUCGAUCUUAUUUUGUUGGUUUCUAAGAUUGACGUAAUGAUUAAUAGGGAUAGUUGGGGGCAUUAGUAUUCAAUUGUCAGAGGUGAAAUUCUUGGAUUUAUUGAAGACUAACUACUGCGAAAGCAUUUGCCAAGGAUGUUUUCAUUAAUCAAGAACGAAAGUUAGGGGAUCGAAGACGAUCAGAUACCGUCGUAGUCUUAACCAUAAACUAUGCCGACUAGGGAUCGGAUGAUGUUAAUUUUUUAAUGACUCAUUCGGCGCCUUA
RNAcentral lists this small RNA (520 nucleotides) under uncultured Glomus. Its description in RNAcentral is "SSU rRNA". It matches the Rfam family "Eukaryotic small subunit ribosomal RNA", at positions 569 to 1090 of the family's 1831-position model. Lineage: Eukaryota; Fungi; Glomeromycota; Glomeromycetes; Glomerales; Glomeraceae. The record is from RNAcentral.